CCUGCACACGGAAACUUAAAGUUCCAAAUAAGAAAAAAAAAAGUAUCCUUCCUAGUAAGAAAAGAGCAAACAGAAUGUUAAGGAAAAAUAAAAAGAGAUUCAACCACUGGAAAGUAACGUACUUUAGACAGGCAAAUAUCAGUAGUGGCCUCGGCAUUUUAAGAGCAAGAGCAUAAAUGUAAGACAAGUUCAUUGGUACAUUACACACCAGGCAACUAUAAAUAAAGAAAAUAGUAACAUGUUCAAAGUUCAUUUCGAAAUCUUGCUAAUUCCAUAAAUAAGAGAACCAAGUUGAUUUCUCAACUCAACUAUGCCUUAGGGCUAAACUAAUUUGGGUCAGCUAUAUGGACAUCCCCAAGUUGUUUAAGCAUACAAUAUGCCAGUCCUUUAUUUGAAUUCUUCUCUCGCAAUAUUUUGCGACUUAUGUAAAAACCUCGGAAAUCUUACUUAAUAUCAGCAUUACUAAUUUACUAUAUCCAACUACAUGUAGUAUUUUGCCUAUAACUAAUAGAUAACAUUGCUAAAAACUUGAUAAUAUAUUUUGUAACAGUGACAUGAAAUCAGGCAAGAAUAAGAUGAUAAUUCAGAGGGUGCUAGCGUCAAGAGACAAACAAUCUGCUACUCAUAGCUGGUUAAAAGUAUGAAAAAGAAGGAAAACUAUAGGCCAUGAGAAACUAUCACUGAGAAAUCAACUAUAUAACUGCUGAGCAUUCAGGAGACAGUAACACAAAAUGAAGAAACAUAUACAUAGGUCUAUUGAUUAAAACAAACCAGUAAUAAUUAAGCCCACAUACUACUCACAUUGCAGACCAACUUAUGGACCAGAAAGAUGCAAUUGGUGCUUAAAGAAUUCUAUCACAUGACAGGUUCUGCAUUUAUUAUUACAGAAGAUUGAAAUACACUAUUGGGCAUAGUUUUUCUCUUUAAUUUGAGACAAGCACAUAAUCUUUAAUCUCCUCUUUCAUUGAUGAUGUUGCUUUGAAAUGUUAGAGAAAAGAACUACCAGGGAACAACGUAUAAAAUGCACAAGUUUUUGACACAACUUUUAACCUUAAAAAGCAGCACUUGUUUAGUGAGAGUGUAUCAGAGUAAUAUAAUUAUCACUAGAAAACCCUGAUGUUUACAGAUGCUGAACUUACUGUGACAAAGACCAUAUCAGAACCAUAAAGUGCCUCUUCUAU
Molecule: unclassified non-coding RNA, 1181 nt
Filed under: Hevea brasiliensis (rubber tree)
Lineage: Eukaryota; Viridiplantae; Streptophyta; Magnoliopsida; Malpighiales; Euphorbiaceae
Source: RNAcentral